Long non-coding RNA from Amblyraja radiata (thorny skate), 416 nucleotides. RefSeq lists it as uncharacterized. NCBI's taxonomy places the organism in Eukaryota, Metazoa, Chordata, Chondrichthyes, Rajiformes, Rajidae. The transcript is spliced from 2 exons. The record is from RefSeq and is a predicted model, not a curated record.
UGGCUAAAUAAAUAAAGUCUGAGUAUCCUAGUGAUCCUGACUAAACCGAAAUGGCUAAAUAAAUAACGUCUGAGUAUCCUAGUGAUCCUGACUUAUGGUACAACCACCGCAAACCAGAUACCCAUAACCCUAGUGGAUGGGACCAGACCGAGGGUUUCCUUCUGGCCUUGAAGGAACUAGCCGUCUGGGGUCCUAGAGACAACAUACUAAAUAUUCAAAGGGAAAUGGAAGCUCUAGCCGUUUGGAGUGACCAGAACCACUUCUCCGACGACACCGACGAAGAGGAAAACUCUAAAGCUAAGGGUCCCAGCGAAUUGACCCACCAGGUGUCGGGAAAUACAGAAGGAGGACCAACUGAGAUACCGGCUGAUGAAAUAGUGUGCUUGCCUAGUGCUCCACGGCAGCUAUGGAUCUCA